This 497-nucleotide ribosomal RNA is filed under the name uncultured bacterium. RNAcentral's name for it is "partial 16S ribosomal RNA". It matches the Rfam family "Bacterial small subunit ribosomal RNA", at positions 28 to 507 of the family's 1533-position model. The record is from RNAcentral.
GAUGAACGCUGGCGGCGUGCCUAAUACAUGCAAGUCGAGCGAACAGACGAGGAGCUUGCACCUCUGACGUUAGCGGCGGACGGGUGAGUAACACGUGGAUAACCUACCUAUAAGACUGGGAUAACUUCGGGAAACCGGAGCUAAUACCGGAUAAUAUAUUGAACCGCACGGUUCAAUAGUGAAAGACGGUUUUGCUGUCACUUAUAGAUGGAUCCGCGCCGCAUUAGCUAGUUGGUAAGGUAACGGCUUACCAAGGCGACGAUGCGUAGCCGACCUGAGAGGGUGAUCGGCCACACUAGAACUGAGACACGGUCCAGACUCCUACGGGAGGCAGCAGUAGGGAAUCUUCCGCAAUGGGCGAAAGCCUGACGGAGCAACGCCGCGUGAGUGAUGAAGGUCUUCGGAUCGUAAAACUCUGUUAUUAGGGAAGAACAAAUGUGUAAGUAACUAUGCACGUCUUGACGGUACCUAAUCAGAAAGCCACGGCUAACUACGUG